AUGAAAGCUAAAAUUGAACAAAGUUUUAAAAAACUUGAAAACCCUUUCACCUCAUUGAAUUCUGAAACAAAACAUAACAAGUACUUUCAACAAAAAUGGAAAACAGUUGAACCUGUCGAAAAAGUACUUUGUGUCAGAUUCGAAAAUAGAAGAAACAGAUGUACUGGAACUUAUGAUCAGGUUGUUGUAACUGACAAAUUUGCCUAUGUCCCAAUUCUAGAAACACUGCAGUCUAUUCUCAGAAAUCCAGACUUUGCAAAUAUGUUAACACCUACCCACAUUCCCAAAGAUGGUGUAUAUUUUGAUUUACAAGAUGGGUUGUAUAUGAAGAGACAUCCCCUUUUUGCACUGCAAAUUCAAUUAUUUUAUGAUGAUUUUGAGACUGUGAAUCCACUGGGAUUCCCACCAAAAUUAAAUUCGUCUUUAGUCAAUAUACAUUUGUGUGCACUUUUUAAUGCACAGGACAUUAAAACCUAUGGGUUUGACACCAUAUCUGAGCCAAUCGUCAGUGACUUGAAGGUGCUUGAAACUGGUGGGAUUACAGCUCCCAUGUUCAAAAGUCCUGUUCUUGGUAGCAUUGUGCAAGUCACAGGUGAUAAUCUUGGUAAACAUGGACUGUUUGGGUUUGUGGAAUCAUUCAGUGCUCAGAACUGCUGUGGUUUUUGUAUCAUAGAGAAAGGUGAUUUUCAAACUGUGUUCUGUGAAGAUGAAGAAAGUGUGAUAUUACGAACAAAAUACAUGCAUGCAGAACAUUGCUCUACUAUACAGACAAAUCCACAACUACCUCAUGUAUAUGGUGUGAAGCGUUCAUGUCUGUUGAACAGACUGCAGUUUUUCAACACAGCUAAUAAUUUCUCAGUUGAUAUCAUGCAUGACAUUUUAGAAGGAGUUGCACAGUUUGAGGUCAAACAUCUGUUGGAGUAUGUGCUGCUGAACUUUUUAACUGCUAAAGAAUUGGCUGGUAGAAUAGAGUCAUUUAACUAUGGCCACACUGAGAGGCGAAAUCGUCCUCCUGCAGUUAAGUUAUUUGAUGGAAGAAAUGAUUUGGGCCUGAAUGCUAUACAGUCCUGGUGUUUGUUGCGCAACAUGCCAUUGAUAUUUGGUGAUCCAUGGAGCCUGUCAUGGCAGCUCCUAUCAUUGUUGUAG
RNAcentral lists this long non-coding RNA (1146 nucleotides) under Dicentrarchus labrax (European seabass). RNAcentral's name for it is "lncRNA (ENSDLAG00005029637.1)". Lineage: Eukaryota; Metazoa; Chordata; Actinopteri; Moronidae. The record is from RNAcentral.